RNAcentral lists this ribosomal RNA (253 nucleotides) under uncultured bacterium. RNAcentral describes it as "partial 16S ribosomal RNA". It matches the Rfam family "Bacterial small subunit ribosomal RNA", at positions 524 to 776 of the family's 1533-position model. The record is from RNAcentral.
UACGUAGGGGGCAAGCGUUGUCCGGAAUCAUUGGGCGUAAAGGGCGUGUAGGCGGUCAGGUAAGUGGGACGUGAAAUGCCUCGGCUCACCCGAGGAGCGGCGUCCCAUACUGCUUGGCUUGAGUACGGGAGAGGAUGUGGGAAUUCCUGGUGUAGCGGUGAAAUGCGUAGAUAUCAGGAGGAACACCGGUGGCGAAGGCGCACAUCUGGCCCGAUACUGACGCUGAGGCGCGAAAGCUAGGGGAGCAAACGGG